Molecule: RNA transcript, 3887 nt
Organism: Girardinichthys multiradiatus
Lineage: Eukaryota; Metazoa; Chordata; Actinopteri; Cyprinodontiformes; Goodeidae
Gene name: ankyrin repeat domain-containing protein 31-like
Exons: 14
Source: RefSeq, a predicted model, not a curated record
AAUAUAGGAUAUCCAUUAUUUAUUGUUGACGAUCCGUUUUCCGAUGACCACUGAAUGCAUCAUAUCUCGCGCCAUUGGCCUCUGACGGGAAGAAGGAGCAGAAUUAAAGCGUAUUUUAAUCGUUUACGUGGUACAAUUUCUAUUUCUUACCUCUUUUUGAUUCUCAGCUUAGUUUUCAGAUAAUUGUUUCUUUAACUAUCCGUAAAAAAUUAAGUGAAUGUCGAACAUAACUUCGAAGAAACAGAGCUUUAAGAAUGUUUACGACCUUUUAACUGGAGGACACUAACGGGUCACCAUCAGUGAGGACUUGGCCCAGAACAUGAGAUCCAGCCUGACAAGAAAAUUGCAGAAUUUUAAGACUGGAGAUUACUGAGCCUGAGAUGGAGGAAGAGAUACUUUCAGACCAGGACUCAGUGAGUUUGCUGCAGGAUCUUCCUGCUUUCCAGAGCAGAGCAGCUGCUGAGGACAUGGCUGUAACUACUUCAGGUUCACAAGCUGCAAACAAAGAGAUUAAAGAUAAGCCGGAGCUGAAUCAGCAUAAAAAACACAAGGCGAAGACCAACAAAGGCAAAAAGUCUGCUGCAGGCUGUGCUGCGUCUUCGUCACGAUCAAAAAAACUGCUUCACAAGAGAAACUACAAAGGAGAGACUCUUCUUCACAAAGCAUGUCAGAAAAAUGAUCUGGCUCAAGUCAAGAUGCUCCUUCAGGCUGGAAUCGACGUCAACAUGGAGGAUUAUGCAGGAUGGACGGCUCUGCACGAGGCCUCUGCUGUUGGAGACGAGUCUGUGGUGGAGGAGCUGCUGAGGGCCGGCGCUAAUGUUAACGCCAGGAACUGUGACGGUGUGACACCGCUGCAUGACGCCGUUUACGCUGAACGCUAUCAGGUUGUGAGGAUCCUCCUUGAGAAUGGAUCAAACCCUACAGACCAGAAUGUCGGUGGAGUUAGAGCAUUGGACAUGGCCACGGACAGGAAUGUGAGAGAGCUGCUCAUGACUUUCCAGGCAUCUUCUGUAGGCCAGGGGGAGUCUUCCAAAGGGGCAGCACAAUGUGCAGAGCCAGGAUCUGAGGGUGGUGCAGGUGGAGAACCUACUGAUGUUCAGCUGAGAGAGGACGGCAUCAGAAAUAACUCCUUUACAGUUCAGAGUCCAGAGGCCGUGUCAGCGGUUCUGGAGGAUGUUGGGAAGAAACAAGCAGAAAUUUCAACCUGGCAUCUGAUAGAUCUCAAUGAUGUAGACAGACACAAAGCAGCCUUUCUAGAGAUCCAAAGUGUGCUGACGGACGUGCUCACCAAGCAGCGUUUAGAGAAGAACAGGCUAACCCACAAGUUCAGGAUUGUGCCUGAACACCUUCGCCAAGUGCUGAGAGAUCAGUUCCUCUCCCUGGCUUCACGUCAGAGAUAUCUGGUAAAACUCCUCCAGAAACAAAUGGAGUUGGAAGAAGCUUACAUUAAAGCAAAGGCUAACAUUUCAUCUACCAAGGAGUCCAUCCUUGGUAACAAUAUCCCUGUCAGCUCGACAUAUGCACUGGAUAAGGUGACUUUCAGAAACAAACCUUUGUCAAACUACUUGGAGGACAAUCAAAAUCCCUUUGAGAUCCAACUUCAGGACGAUGUUCGAUACAACAAAGAUGGUUCUGCUCAACAGGAGCUGAGUCCAGAACCAGAAAACCCAUAUCAGCUGUUACGAAAAAUCAAGAUUGUCCAUUUGAUGAGCUGCGAGGAGUUCCUUCCAGACGCUGUAAUGGACUAUUACUGGGACAAGCUCCUGAAGCUAGACGCUGUAGACUUUGAGAACUGGGAGCUGGAACUCUAGUUUUGCCUUGAACUAUUUGUUUGGUUUUUUUUAUGAGUUCUCAACAUGAAUGUUUAGGAGUGUGGUCAUAGUUGGCUGAGAAAACCAGAACUGCACCCUCUGCUCUAAUUCAUCCCAAAGGCAUUCAAGAAAGUUGAGGAGGUGAGAUGUUUGCCCUAACUGGCUCAGGUUUUCUACAUGAAGUGGCAGAGGUAGACCAACAGAUGGCAACAUACACUUCAGAGAUAACCACCUCUGAGAGGGUAGAUCUCCCUCCACCCCACCCCACCCUGCAGAAACAGGAUGUGUCCAGACAUGGGGGUUGAUGCAGUCAUGUGACCACACUCCACUCCUCAUAUCUUAUGUAAUCCCUAUCUUAGCCAUGUGCUUCCCCCAUAACCGCUGACCUACAUAUGAUAAUCGUACCCACUUAUCUACAGUUGUAGUCUUUUUCUGCCUCUCCUUGCAGCUAACUUAUACACAUCGUAAGGAACUUUGGUGACGUUUUAUGAGUCAGCCUGUAAGAAGUUAAAUUGAUAAAUGUUGUGAUGGAUUGUCCCACAUACUUGCCUUUGUUCAUAGAGGCUGUGAUUCAGUGAGGCGGCUGUCACACCACUUCCUCUUGGGCAGAAUCUGGUGAAAAACUGUUGGUUCCACUGGGGGUGAUGGUUAAACUCUUUGUGCCAGAGCAAACUUCAGAGGUUAUCUGUUCUGGAUACGGAUGCAGAUGGGAGUUUGGAUUUAUCAGAACGAGCAGAAAGAUAACAUGAACAGGACGAUUCAUUACUUUCACUCUAGCCUGAGGUUUAUUUCUCUCUGCACUGCAUUUUUUCCAGCCUGUUUCUCCUUCAGCCAAACUGCUUAUGUCACUCCUGCAGCCCAGUCAGAGAUGAGCAUUGUCUGGGCGCUCUAUGGAAGCCUGUUGCUACCAGGAACCAUAAAUGAAAAUAUUAAAACUAGAUUUAAUAGAGAAAAAUCCCUUUUUAAAAUCAGCUUCAUUCAUUUAGCACUUUUCAAACUGGAGGGAAAUUCAAAGAGCAGAAUGAGGCAAAACCAGGACAUGAAAACAGAUGGGAUCAAAAUAGACAUCUGUCAGUAAAACCAAUUUACAUACAUUUAAAAAAUAUAACUGAAAUAAAGGUAAAAGGGGCCAAAUUAGUUAAAUAUCAGUAAAACAAAAUAAGCAUUUUUAAAGAAAACAUUUUUAUUAAUUUAUGCUUUCUGCCCUGGAGUGGUAAUAUCUCGUAGGGUGUACACUGCUUCGCUCAAGAUUUAAGGUUUUCCACCAAAGUGCUUCCAGUGUUAAACCAGUACUGGUCCCAGAACUAGUUCCCAGCUGAUUCUACACUCCAACCAGUUUGGUGAACCAGCCAUCUAAUAACUGGUGGGAUGACCUUCUGCAACCCUGAACAGGCCACAGUGGAGGGAUGCAAAUUGAAUGCCACCUUUCUAUUUUAGAGAUGUUUGAGAACAAUAUGAGCCAAACUGUUGCUGUUAUAAACUUCUUACAGUCAUUAUCAUAACAAAAUGACCUUGAGAUUUAAAUUAAUUGAACUAGUUUAACAAUACCCUCAACUGUGAUAAUGGGAUGUGGAUAGUGACCAAAACAACAGGGUCCUGGAUUCAGGUAACUGGAAUUAGCGUCAUCUAGCAGCUUCUCUACAUCAAUGGAGUUAGAUGACGGUGCUCAGGCAUCUUGCUUUGUCAUUCAUUUAUUUUGGUGUCAUUUUGGAUCCACACAAGAAACACCAAAUAGACACUUGUUAAGGUCUGUGGCCCCUUUUAUAAUAUGGCAGUAACCGCUGUUUUUACAGAUGCAACAGGUUAGGAACAAAUUCUGACUUUGUGACAUACCAUCCAUUUCUAUAUUUGCAUAAUCCUAUUUAUGGAAGUGGAAGGAAGGUUGUAGCGUAUCCUAGCAGUCAUUGAGCAAUAAGCUGGGCACACCCUGGACGGUUUGCCAGUGUAUUACAGACACACAACAGGCAACUUUGCAUGCAUCUAUGCAUGCAUACAAAGAUUGGGUUUAAAUCACGAAAUGACCCUAAAAUGCAUGUUUUAAUACUGUCAAAAAAAAAUAAAUACAUUCGAAACAAG